This 486-nucleotide ribosomal RNA is filed under the name uncultured bacterium. Its description in RNAcentral is "bacterial SSU rRNA". It matches the Rfam family "Bacterial small subunit ribosomal RNA", at positions 28 to 507 of the family's 1533-position model. The record is from RNAcentral.
GAUGAACGCUAGCGGGAGGCUUAACACAUGCAAGUCGAGGGGCAGCAUAGGGUAGCAAUACUCUGAUGGCGACCGGCAAACGGGUGAGUAACGCGUAUGUAACCUACCCUGUACAGGGGGAUAACCCGGAGAAAUUCGGACUAAUAUCCCAUAACAAUAUCCGGGGGCAUCUUUGGAUAUUUAAAGUUCCGGCGGUACGGGAUGGGCAUGCGUAACAUUAGCUAGUUGGUAAGGUAACGGCUUACCAAGGCUUUGAUGUUUAGGGGUCCUGAGAGGGUGGUCCCCCACACUGGUACUGAGACACGGACCAGACUCCUACGGGAGGCAGCAGUGAGGAAUAUUGGUCAAUGGGCGAGAGCCUGAACCAGCCAAGUCGCGUGAAGGAAGGAGGAUCUAUGGUUCGUAAACUUCUUUUGCAGGGGAAUAAAGUGCAGGACGUGUCCUGUUUUGUAUGUACCCUGAGAAUAAGGAUCGGCUAACUCCGUG